This is a long non-coding RNA of Oryzias melastigma (Indian medaka), 901 nucleotides long. RefSeq lists it as uncharacterized. The transcript has 2 exons. NCBI's taxonomy places the organism in Eukaryota, Metazoa, Chordata, Actinopteri, Beloniformes, Adrianichthyidae. The record is from RefSeq and is a predicted model, not a curated record.
CAGAGUUCCCCGAGCUCGUUUUCAGGUCUUCUGAUUGAAAUUUUAUAAAAUAUACUCUGAGAGGAACAAAAAUAUUCAUCAAAUCACCUGUUGGAACAAACAUUAAACUCCACAAGGUGGACGCAAUCAUUAAAGAAUUGUAGGGAAGAUAUUAAUAAUUGUCAAACCAUACACAAAUUAAAAGCACUUAUGAAGGUGAUAUAAUUAAUGAGUAUGAAGAAACAAUGACAAAAUCAUACAUACACUGAAAACCCACACAGAAAAGGUAAUCAUUAAAAAAAAAAACAUGUCUGAAAAAAUUACAUUCGAGUUUUAUUUUAAAAAGUAUAUUUAUUUUAUGUAAUUCAUGUCAUGGUUCUGCUCUGCUCCUUCACCCCUCCCUUCCUUCCUCCACUCUAAUCUCACUCACCUGUGCUGAUUAAGCUCUCAUUGUGCUACAGCUGGUGUUCACUCUAUUUAAGGUCCUCAGUUCCACUUCCACCCUGCCAGUUCGUUGAAUCAGUCACGUUCCAGCUAGUAAUAAUCCUUGCACCUCUAGUCUUUUCAUGUUUUUGACCCUUUUCUGGCCUGGUAACGAGUUUAAGCCUGUCCCCUUUCUGGAGUUUUUCUGCCCUGGUUUUUCCUCCUCUGUUUCCAUCCUGAAGAGGCGUGACGUUUCCAGACCCCUCAUCUCAACACGGAGUAAAGCUGCUCCAACACUGGUCUUCACCCUCCGGUGGAUUCUCAUCCGGUACACAGCAGCAGUGGGGGGAAAUCUUCCAUCAUUCCUGACACCAUCCGCCCUGCACUCGGACGCUUCAAAGACUCUUCUCUCACGUCUGCUUCUGGAGUUCUACGCUCACCUGUGCAUCUGGCGGCCCACUGGUUAAUUCUACCUCCCUAAUAAACACUUUAAUUGUGA